AUCUCGUCCUAUUUUCUAUAUUCUGUAUCAAAAUCCAAAGGCAUCUCUUGCAGGACUGGUCAUGUAAUUUCUAAGAGUUUUAUGCUGGAGUAUAUCAAUUUUGCAUUCAUUCUUUACACAGUAGAACGGCUAACAAGUAUAGUUUUGGGUAACAGCCUUGGUGAUCUCUACUCCCUGGACUCUGAUUUCUCAGAUUUUUCCUACAGUUUCUACUUUUCAUUGGCCUUGUAUGAGCUUUUCUUGAUUUACUUCUCCAUGAUUUUUGCUUUUCUUAUUACAUUAUUUGGUGAUCUUUACUCUGGAUUAUGAAUCUCGUAUUUGAUUUAUACUUUUCAUUGGGUUACCGAAAGCUUUUUUUAUUUCAGCACGAUUUUGUGUUGAUCCACCUGUGUUCUAUUAUGGGCAUUUUACAACAGUGCUUCAAGAUUGCUGAGUCCCUAGGGAAGAUAAGAAAUGUUGUGUAUGAUUUAUCUUCUGAACAGGAGCAAUAAGGGAUGGGUAUUCACUUUUGUUUCGAGAAUCUGCAUUUGGGUUUGAAGAACUACACAACUUUUUUGAAGAACUACACAACUUUUCUUUCUUAGUUUUCUUGAUAACUUUUAUAUGGAAGG
Glycine soja is the source of this 611-nucleotide long non-coding RNA. RefSeq lists it as uncharacterized. The record is from RefSeq and is a predicted model, not a curated record. NCBI's taxonomy places the organism in Eukaryota, Viridiplantae, Streptophyta, Magnoliopsida, Fabales, Fabaceae. The transcript has 3 exons.